UACGUAGGGGGCUAGCGUUGUCCGGAAUCCUUGGGCGUAAAGCGCGUGUAGGCGGCCCGGUAAGUCCGCUGUGAAAGUCGGGGGCUCAACCCUCGGAAGCCGGUGGAUACUGUCGGGCUCGAGUACGGAAGAGGCGAGUGGAAUUCCUGGUGUAGCGGCGAAAUGCGCAGAUAUCGGGAGGAACACCUAUUGCGAAGGCAGCUCGCUGGGACGUUACUGACGCUGAGACGCGAAAGCGUGGGGAGCAAACAGG
Molecule: ribosomal RNA, 253 nt
Filed under: uncultured bacterium
Lineage: Bacteria
Description: partial 16S ribosomal RNA
Rfam family: Bacterial small subunit ribosomal RNA
Source: RNAcentral